Balaenoptera ricei (Rice's whale) is the source of this 9074-nucleotide RNA transcript. It is a transcript of the gene named KAT8 regulatory NSL complex subunit 3, with no coding region annotated. The record is from RefSeq and is a predicted model, not a curated record. Lineage: Eukaryota; Metazoa; Chordata; Mammalia; Artiodactyla; Balaenopteridae. The transcript has 29 exons.
CGAAUCACAAGCCCUGGCUACCAGCUGGGGCGGUUUUGAGGCUCGGUGGCUGGACCCCCGAAGGGUACCUGGAGUAGAGGGCGGUUCCCCAGGGACCACCCCGGCCUCGGUGACUAGCAUGCAGAUACCCGUUCUCUGACCUGCUGCCCCUCUUCUGACAUGGCCCACCGCGGUGGGGAGAGGGACUUCCAGACGUCAGCGCGGCGCAUGGGCACCUCGCUGCUCUUCCAGCUUUCGGUGCAUGAGCGGGAGCUGGACCUGGUGUUUCUGGAUCACAGCUAUGCCAAGCCGUGGAGUGCCCACCCAGAUGCCAGUAGUGCCCGCCCCACCCGCAUGCUCUUUGUUACUCCCCGGAGGCAGCACGAAAGUACCAUCGAGUCAGACGUCCCAAUAGAUGUGGAGACAGUCACAUCAACCCCUGUGCCACUUUAUGACAAUCAGAAGGCACGCAGCGUGAUGAAUGAGUGUGAACGGCAUGUCAUCUUCGCCAGGACCGAUGCAGAUGCACCUCCCCCUCCAGAGGACUGGGAGGAGCAUGUCAACAGGACUGGCUGGACAAUGGCCCAGAACAAGCUAUUCAACAAGAUCCUCAAAGCCCUGCAGUCUGAUCGGCUUGCCCGCUUGGCCAACGAAGGGGCUUGUAACGAGCCAGUGCUGCGCCGUGUUGCCGUGGACAAGUGUGCGAGGAGAGUGCGGCAAGCUCUGGCGAGUGUGAGCUGGGACACCAAGCUGGUCCAGUGGCUGCACACCACCCUGGUGGAGACCUUGAGUCUGCCCAUGCUGGCCGCCUACCUGGAUGCUUUGCAGACACUGAAAGGGAAGAUCCCUACCUUGAUUGACCGGAUGCUCGUGUCGUCCAACACGAAGACCGGGGCUGCUGGAGCUGAGGCCUUGUCCCUCCUACUGAAGAGGCCCUGGGACCCUGCUGUGGGAGUGCUCUCUCAUAACAAACCAAGCAAACUCCCCGGCUCUCCUCUCAUUCUCAUUGCCCCCUCCGGGCCCUCCAGCUCCGUGUUCCCCACCUCGCGCCGCCACCGCUUCUGGCAGUCUCAGCUGUCCUGCUUAGGCAAGGUCAUCCCUGUUGCCACCCAUCUGCUGAACAAUGGUAGUGGAGUAGGAGUUCUGCAGUGUCUGGAGCACAUGAUUGGGGCAGUGCGAAGCAAAGUGCUGGAGAUUCAUAGCCAUUUCCCCCACAAACCCAUUAUCUUGAUUGGCUGGAAUACAGGAGCUUUGGUGGCCUGUCACGUGUCGGUGAUGGAAUACGUCACUGCAGUUGUCUGCCUUGGGUUUCCUCUGCUUACCGUGGAUGGCCCCAGAGGGGAUGUGGAUGAUCCCCUCUUGGAUAUGAAGACUCCAGUCCUCUUUGUCAUUGGUCAGAAUUCCCUGCAGUGUCACCCUGAAGCCAUGGAGGACUUCCGGGAGAAGAUUCGGGCCGAGAACAGCUUGGUGGUGGUUGGGGGAGCUGAUGAUAAUCUCAGAAUAAGCAAAGCAAAAAAGAAGUCGGAAGGGUUGACUCAGAGCAUGGUGGACAGAUGUAUUCAGGAUGAGAUUGUGGACUUCCUGACUGGAGUGCUCACUCGCGCGGAGGGGCACGUGGGCUCUGAGCCUCGGGAUCAGGACGCUGAGAAGAAGAAGAAGCCCCGGGACGUGGCCCGCAGAGACCUGGCCUUUGAGGUCUCUGAGCGGGGCAGUCGACCUGCGUCACCAGCUGCCAAGCUACCUGCCUCACCCUCAGGCUCGGAGGAUCUCUCCAGUGUGUCCAGCAGCCCCACCUCCAGUCCCAAGACCAAAGUGACCACAGUGGCCUCUGCCCAGAAGUCCAGUCAGAUCGGAAGCACUCAGCUGCUGAAGAGACAUGUGCAGCGGACAGAGGCUGUGCUCACCCACAAACAAGCUCAAGCGCAGUUUGCUGCUUUUCUGACACAAAACAUGCUGGUGAGGAAAGCUCUUCCUCCCGGCACCUCCUCCUGUCUCUUUGUUCCUGUUUCAUCAGAACAAACGGAGGAAGCCGAGAAAGAGGAUCUCCGGGUCCAGCUGAAGCGGCACCAUCCCUCCAGUCCUCUUCCUGGCAGUAAGACCUCCAAGCGACCGAAGAUCAAGGUGUCCCUUAUCUCCCAAGGGGACACAGCUGGAGGGCCUUGUACUCCUUCCCAAGGAGGAGCUCCAGAAGCCGCAGGAGGGAAGCCCAUCACCAUGACACUGGGACAAGCUUCCGCAGGGGCCAAGGAGCUCACAGGGCUUCUCACCACAACCAAGUCAAGUGCUGCUGAAGGGGGAGCCUCAGCCAGCCCGGCGUCCUCAGCGGUCUCCAGCAGCACUGCUCCCAGUGCCUUGCACACACUCCAGAGCCGCCUGGUGGCCGCCUCUCCUGGCAGCUCCCUCCCAGGGGCCGCAUCAGCCAGCAGCCUCCUCCAAGGCCUCAGCUUCAGCUUGCAGGAUAUCAGCAGCAAGACCUCUGGCCUCCCAGCAAACCCCUCUCCCGGGCCAGCCCCACAGGCCACCAGUGUGAAGUUGCCCACCCCCAUGCAGAGCCUGGGUGCCAUCACCACGGGCACCAGCACCAUUGUCCGUACCAUUCCUGUGGCCACCACUCUCUCCUCCUUGGGUGCCACUCCUGGUGGGAAGCCCACAGCCAUCCACCAGCUGCUGACCAAUGGGGGCCUCGCCAAGUUGGCAAGCAGCCUCCCUGGCCUGGCUCAGAUCUCUAACCAAGCCUCAGGCUUGAAGGUCCCCACCACCAUCACUCUGACACUACGUGGCCAGCCCAGCCGAAUCACCACACUGAGCCCCAUGGGCUCAGGAGCAGCCCCAUCAGAAGAGCCCACCUCCCAGGCGCUGCCCUCCAGCUCACAGGCGAGGAAAUGGAGGCCCAGUGAACCCUAUUCGUCUGGUGUCACCAGCGUGGCAGCUACUGUUUUGGUCUACCUGGCAGACACACUUCCUGUGAGGUAACCCAGGUGCCCCCAGUAGGAACCUCCUGUGCCCCACCCACUUGUGUGGCAGGCAACUGGGGGUGCAGCGGGGGGCUCACCGGGAAGAUUCAGCAGCAGCCCGGCACGUCUGCACCACCACCAGGGCGGACCAGCGCUUCCGGCUCACGCCCUCAGCCCCCAGGGGUGCUGUAGGGCAUCCCGCCAGCCAGGCCCCGGGGCUUAGCUCAGAGCACUGGAGUCACGCCCGAGUACCCAGCUCUGCUCCCCCACUUACCUGCGGGGGAACCUGGGCACGUCCCCAGCCCUCUCGGAGCCUCAGGCCCCCACCUGUACCACGAGGUAGGUAAAAGGCAGCUGUCCUGAGGCGCAACUAGCCAAGCAGACUGAAGGCACAGGAUGAAGGGCACAGCCUGCUGAGGUAUGAGCGGGAGGCUGGGUUUGGCUCCGGGUCCCACUCUUCAUUGGGGUGAUGGCAUCCCAGGCCCGAGCAGGUGCUGGGCAGGUCCCUCUCCUUGGCUCCCCUGUGUCACCCUGUGGGAGGCGCCACCCGCAAGGACGCCCCCACCUUGCCCUUGCAAAGGUCCACGCCACACAUAACCUCAGGGCUGCGUGGAUUCACAGGUGUUUUAUUGGCUUUUCCGUAGGCAGCCUGGAGGCCUCACGCUGCUAACCAGCCCCUCGACCCCUCACCCCGCCCCUGGCCUCUGCUCUGGGGCCCCGGCUGGGAGCCAUCAGCCUUAACAUCUUCUCCCAAGGCCUUGCAACCACUGGGCCCCCAGCCCCUGGGCUCAGGCUGCCUCCUUGAGAGAUAAACCCACUUUUCUCACUGCUUCUCUUUGGGCCAGGCUCCCAAGCCGAGGGCGCAUCCCUGCGUCAGGCACAGCCGAGUUCUCCUGAGGAGUGGGCUCCAGCCCAGAGCCCCUUGGCAGUGCCUACCCAUCCCAGGCUGAGUCAGACCCUGUGCACAGUGUUGCGGGCUCAGGCCUACAGCUUGGUGUUGAGGUGGAAGGAGAAGUGGGGCACUGCAUAGGUUGUGGCAGGUGGCACGUGCCACGCAGACGAGGCUGGGCAAAGUCUGUGGCGCAGAGCACUGUUGAAGGAUGCGGGGGGGAAGUGCAUCAGGCCAGCGGCCAUGGGUGAGGGUGCUGCAGUGGCCAGGAGGUGGGCUGGGAAGGCCGGGAUGACCAGGGGGCUGAAAGGGAGUGUGGCCUGGCCCUUUAAGGGGUCCAGGGUGCUGGCGAAGUUCAGUGGGCAGCGCAGCAUGGUGCCCCUGUAGGCCUCUGGAAGGGUGGGCCCCAGGGCCGGGCCCAGCAGGCAGGAGACGGCCAAGUCGGGCCCCACAGACUUGGUCCCGCACUCCUUGGUAUCCACCUCCUUAAGAAAGGGAGACACUGCCCGCAGUUUUUUGCCGCCAUGGACCAAGCCCUCUUCCUCCAGGCUGCGCUUGUUGCCCAGGCCUGGGCUGCUUGGGAAGGUGGUCAGGGGCACGGGGCUCUCGGCAGGGACCUUGGUCAUGGGGGACACCCAGCAGGCUUUGGGUUUGGGGUAGAGGCCGCCCCUUCUGGAGCCGCCCUUGUGGAAUGCAGACGGGUGGUCGGCAUCCCCACCCCACACCAGCUGGGGCUCUUUGGCUGGCAGCCCCUCCUCUUUGCUAGGAGGCCCUAAUAACACCCCAUCUUUAAGACUGGGGAAGAAGUUCCGGGGGUGCUGGCUGAUAGGCUUCAGCACCUCGGUGGGGUAGGCGUGGAAGCAGCCAGUGAAGAUGGGGGCCGACGGGCGAGGGCCCACCUGAGCCUCCUCCUUGAGGCUGCCACCAGGGCCCUGUGUUCCCUCCGGAGGCGUCAGCCGGUGCCUGGAGUUCUCGGCCGGCCCUCCUGGGCUCCGGGGAUUCUCCAGGGGCCGAAUAGCUGGGGGUGCCUGGGACUCCCCACCUGCCCCGUGGCGACAGCCCUCCUCCUGGCACUGCAAGGCCUCCGCCUUGCUCACCUGGGCCAGAAGCUUCUUCUUGGCCAGUGGUGACAUGAUACCAUGUGUCCCUUUGCAGUAGAAGCUGGACAGAAGCCGCCGGUAGGCCUCAGGGCAGCCGCUGGCACCCACGAAGGGCAGAGAGGGCCCAGGGGCUGGGCCUCGCUGUUCCAUGCCGUCCCUGGAGGGCUCCUGGCUAGGAAGCCUUGCCAGGUCAGGGGCAUCUGUUUUGGUCUUUCCUGGCAUCAUCUGGAAAGAGAGAAAAGGCCAGGCCUCAGGGCUGGGUGUGGCCAUGCACCCAGACCUGGGGACUUGGUGACAGCAAGGUCCCAAGGGGACACCCAGGAGCCUCUGCUAGCCCUUCCAGCACCUUUGUACAGAAUUUUCAAAAGGUGUCCCGUCCUCUGAAUAGACGCAGCCUGGGGUCAGGACACAGGGACUGGUGAACGGGGUGCAGACUGGAGUUCAGACCCCACCCAUCGCACCCACCAGUGCCGCCCUCAGAGAAGGUUCUGGGUGUUCUAGGCAGGGAGCCCUGCGGCCAAGGUGAGGACAGGUAGGGGGCGCUGUGAGGGGCAGGGCGAGGAGGCCAGGGUCAGCUGGUGGCCCCAGCCGGGCUCAGAGCUCACCUGGUCCACCCGCUUCUCCUCCUUGGCUUUCUUUGGCCUCUCAGUGGCCCCAUCAUCCCCCCGAGGCUCCUUGGCCACCUUGUACUGCUUCCUGGGCUUGGAGGGGGGUAGGGGCUUGUCAUCCUCUCCCUUCAGGUGCCGCACGUAUGGGAGGACCAACCUGGGGAGGAACCGGGCACGCUGACCAGGAGGCCAGGCUGGCAGCAGGCUCCCACCGCUCCAGGCCCACCCGGCCUCCUCCAGCCCCGGACCGCGAACACCCAGACACCCCACGGGGGCCCGCGCUCUCCCUCGUCUCGUCCAGGAGGCCUGCAGUCUGCUCUCCCGCCUCAGGGCCCUGCUGGUCCAACCCUGGGGGGUGAAGGCCCAGGUCCUGUGACCCGGGGGCCUGGCCGUACCUCUCGUAGUGGCGGCGCGUGCACGUGGCGGCGCUGGUGCUGCCCGGGCUGCCCCCCAGCUCGUCAUACACGUUCUUCCAGAGGCGGCGGCCAGUCACCUGCAAGGAUGCCACCUACUUUUCUACAUGAACCAGGAUUUCUACUCCAGCCUGUGCCACCGAAGCAAAUGGCUGAGAAGCGCGACGCUGAGGAGUGGAGGCUGACCGCUCCGACCACGCUGGUCAGCACAGCUGCGCUGACCUCGCGAGGCGACUUUAAGGAGGUGCUGGAAGGAGAGGAAGAGGGAGAGAAGCGGGAAGGAGGGAGAGAACGUGAGAUGCUGGCAGGGAGGAGCGGGCGGCAGGAGGGCCAGGUGGGGGCAGAAAGUUUGGGAAAGCUGCGGAGGCGUCCAUGUUUGUGGACCCCCAAAGCACCACGGGGGGCUGCUUGGACCAUAAACCCUCCAGGAAUAAUCAAGAAGAGAGUAAGUUCCUAUUUGUGAAGCACCCAGCCUUUGCCUGAGCACCAGCAGAGUCCUCACUGCCCCUAAUUAGGCCACACGCUCCCCUCACCUGCAUGGUUCCUGGUGACCCUUCAGGUCUCACCUGACAAGUCGCUUCCUCGGGGUGGCCCUUCCCAGCCCCCAGCCAAGCACAGCACUUCUCUCUAGUCAUCCUCUAGCCAUCCUCACACCAUCCAGAUGGGCCUUCCAGACUGAGAUGCCCAUGGCUCAUCUGGCCUCCUGAGAGCUUCGUGAGGCCGCCCAGCAACCCACAAAGUAGGUGGCAGAACUGUCCUGGUUCGCUCCAACUCAAGAAAUUCUUACUGCUGGGAACCUGCAAGAUUCCCCCUCCAACCCAGACAGAAAAAGAAUCUCCAUAAGAACAAGAAACCCACGCCAGAGUGACCCACAAGGGGACAAGGGUUCGAGCCCUGGUCCGGGAAGAUUCCACAUGCCGCGGAGCAACUAAGCCCGUGAGCCACAACUACUGAGCCUGUGUGCUGCAACUACUGAAGCCCACGCGCCUAGAGUCCGUGCUCCGCAACAAGAGAAGCCACCGCCAUGAGAAGCCCGCGCACCGCAAUGAAGAGUAGCCCCCAUUCGCUGCAACUAGAGAAAGCCCGCGUGCAGAAACGAAGACCCAACACAGCCAAAAAUAAAUUUAUAAGGAAGCGACACUUCCUUUCAUGAAAAGUCACCCACUGGGAGCACCGCGUCAAUUACGACAAUAAUGGUAACAGCAGCCUCAGUAACACCCAGCAGACGCAGCCACACCUCCUCGCCUAAGGCCGUUGGCUUAAGUUUCUCUUAGCUUGAGCUGGAGCUGAAACAAAGACAGCCUUUGAAGCGGCCAGUCCACUCUGUGGCCCAGGAGCCCGCUGCCUGGCAGUCUCCGUGUGGGGCUCGCUCCAGCGUGGUUUGGGGAAGGGGGACCUGCCAAGGGCUGUGCUCCAGCCAGUGCUAAGGACAGACGGACGACCUGGACAUGAAAGCCCAGAGGGCACAGGGUGCAGCUCCGACCCAGCCCUGCCUCUGGGUCUCAGCUGGGGGAAGAGGGGGGUCAGGGUCUAGGAACAUCUGGGGCCAAGAUGACAGCCUUGAGUGUAGAAAAAUGGGGGCAUGGGGGCACCAAAUAUGACACUGCCAACUCCCAAGGCCUGCUGGAAUUUGGCCGCUCUUUAGCCAGCUCUGGGAUAUCCUAAAAGACCCUUUUCCAGGAUGGGGCUGAAUCCCCACUGUCCCUCCCCUCCAAGUCUGGGUGAUAUUUGACAAUAACAGUAACGGCUCCAUCUAUGGACCGUUUCCUGUGUCCCCACAGACUACAUUUCCUGCACCUAUUCCACCUAUGGGGGAACCAGGCUUGGCAGCAGCUUGUCCAAAACACUGGCCAACAGUAGAGGCACAGCCAGGACGGAGCUGUGUCAGCUGCCUGACCUCUGCCUGGGGCACUCGUUUGCCUCUCAGCUUUUCCGCUCCGCUCCUAGAGCACCCCACACCCUCCGCCAAGGAUGGCUCUCCAAGUCGGUACCGCAAGGUCCCAGAGGGAGGGUGGGCCAUCCCAGGCCAGUCUCCAGAAACUAUUGCAAAGGGAGAGAGGGGCGGGGUCUUAGAGGCCUGAUUCGUCCUCACUGCCAGACCAGGGCUGGUCUGUAAGCCUCAGUUUCCCAGACUGUAACUCAAAGAAGAAGAGGCUGAUUCCCUGAGGUCUUUUCUGCCUCUGCCGUUCCAAGUUCGAGGCCCCAGACGGGUCCCCGGGGCUUGUACGGACUCCGGAACUCCACUCCCGUGGCCCAACCCACUAGCUGCCAUCUCCCAUCCCUCCUCUGCCCUAACACGGCCUGUGGGCGCAGAGACCCCAAGCCACCAACACUGGUGAUCGGGAGGGGACAAGAAGCACCUGUUAUCCUCUCCUCGGCCCCGCGGACCCCUCCUCGAUAGCUGACGACCCCGCAAACAAAGGAACCCUGGGUCUGGCCAGCGAAGUGCCGCCGGACCCGCACCCUGAGCCUUCGGGGGUCCGGCAGCCGGCGACUCCCAUCCCUAUCCCAGCGUCCGCAGGUCUGGAGGACGGGAGCCCGGCCUGGCCGCGCCCCCUGAACACCCUGCUCAGGGACCGAGACGAGGCAGCCGUGUCGUGGUUCCAGGCUCGGACUGAGCGCUAAGCCAAACACUUCUCGCACGCUCGCAGCCCGCGCACCGCCACUCCUCUUCUCUCCCCCACCCCACCGCCCCCAUCACUCCCGGGGCCGCCACCCUGUCCCUCCUGGAGACCCGAGGAGAGAAAAAAGAGACAAGAGAAAGAUGAGCAGAGCAAAAAGGGAAGCUACUUCUUCCCUGCCGGGGGGAGCGUGGGGGUGGGGGCGGGGUGUGUAGAGGAGGGUGGACAGGAGACAAGAAGAGGAGAGACCAGAGAAGAAAAGAAAAAAGGGAAGAGAAAAGGAAAAGAGAAAGGGUAGGGGGCGAGCAGCCGAUAAGCGCCGAAGGAUCAGCACGCCCCUCGGCUGAAAGAGGAACAGUUGAUUCUUCAAAAUGCAUUGAGCAAGUUCUUCAAAGCCCGCGCAGAGUCACUUUCAGGAAACGGCGGCCGCAAUGGAAAGCGUCCCGCGCGCCCAGCGGACCCCGGUGCCCCUUUCUCGGCGGCGCCGGCGGGUUCUGAGAACCACCGGGA